AUGAGGAAGCUAAAUUAAAGAACAGGAAAAACAAUCAGAUCUUGAAAAUGCUAAGUUUAUGAAGUAUAUUUUAGACAAGGAACAAGAAGCAGAGAACAAAAUAAGAGAAUUGGAGAAACAAGCUUUGGUAGAGUAUGCAGCUGAACAAAAGAAGUCUAAGGAAGAAAGAGCCAAAUGGGAAGCUGAAUAUUACGCAAAAAUAGAACAGUGUCGUAAGGAGCAGGAAGAACUUAAUUGCAAAAUAAAAGAAGUGCUUAAUAAG
Long non-coding RNA from Trichoplusia ni (cabbage looper), 262 nucleotides. RefSeq lists it as uncharacterized. Lineage: Eukaryota; Metazoa; Arthropoda; Insecta; Lepidoptera; Noctuidae. The transcript has 2 exons. The record is from RefSeq and is a predicted model, not a curated record.